UACGUAGGUGACAAGCGUUGUCCGGAUUUACUGGGCGUAAAGAGCGCGCAGGCGGUCGUUCAAGUCGAGUGUGAAAGCCCCCGGCUCAACUGGGGAGGGUCACUCGAUACUGAUCGACUCGAAGGCAGGAGAGGGAAGUGGAAUUCCCGGUGUAGUGGUGAAAUGCGUAGAUAUCGGGAGGAACACCAGUGGCGAAGGCGGCUUCCUGGCCUGUUCUUGACGCUGAGGCGCGAAGGCUAGGGGAGCAAACGGG
This 253-nucleotide ribosomal RNA is filed under the name uncultured bacterium. Its description in RNAcentral is "partial 16S ribosomal RNA". It matches the Rfam family "Bacterial small subunit ribosomal RNA", at positions 524 to 776 of the family's 1533-position model. The record is from RNAcentral.